CCGAACCGACUUACGUUGAAAAGUGAGCGGAUGAACUGAGGGUAGCGGAGAAAUUCCAAUCGAACCUGGAGAUAGCUGGUUCUCUCCGAAAUAGCUUUAGGGCUAGCCUCAAGUGAUGAUUAUUGGAGGUAGAGCACUGUUUGGACGAGGGGCCCCUCUCGGGUUACCGAAUUCAGACAAACUCCGAAUGCCAAUUAAUUUAACUUGGGAGUCAGAACAUGGGUGAUAAGGUCCGUGUUCGAAAGGGAAACAGCCCAGACCACCAGCUAAGGUCCCAAAAUAUAUGUUAAGUGGAAAAGGAUGUGGCGUUGCCCAGACAACUAGGAUGUUGGCUUAGAAGCAGCCAUCAUUUAAAGAGUGCGUAAUAGCUCACUAGUCGAGUGACACUGCGCCGAAAAUGUACCGGGGCUAAACAUAUUACCGAAGCUGUGGAUUGUCCUUUGGACAAUGGUAGGAGAGCGUUCUAAGGGCGUUGAAGCAUGAUCGUAAGGACAUGUGGAGCGCUUAGAAGUGAGAAUGCCGGUGUGAGUAGCGAAAGACGGGUGAGAAUCCCGUCCACCGAUUGACUAAGGUUUCCAGAGGAAGGCUCGUCCGCUCUGGGUUAGUCGGGUCCUAAGCUGAGGCCGACAGGCGUAGGCGAUGGAUAACAGGUUGAUAUUCCUGUACCACCUAUAAUCGUUUUAAUCGAUGGGGGGACGCAGUAGGAUAGGCGAAGCGUGCGAUUGGAUUGCACGUCUAAGCAGUAAGGCUGAGUAUUAGGCAAAUCCGGUACUCAUUAAGGCUGAGCUGUGAUGGGGAGAAGACAUUGUGUCUUCGAGUCGUUGAUUUCACACUGCCGAGAAAAGCCUCUAGAUAGAAAAUAGGUGCCCGUACCGCAAACCGACACAGGUAGUCAAGAUGAGAAUUCUAAGGUGAGCGAGCGAACUCUCGUUAAGGAACUCGGCAAAAUGACCCCGUAACUUCGGGAGAAGGGGUGCUCUUUAGGGUUAACGCCCAGAAGAGCCGCAGUGAAUAGGCCCAAGCGACUGUUUAUCAAAAACACAGGUCUCUGCUAAACCGUAAGGUGAUGUAUAGGGGCUGACGCCUGCCCGGUGCUGGAAGGUUAAGAGGAGUGGUUAGCUUCUGCGAAGCUACGAAUCGAAGCCCCAGUAAACGGCGGCCGUAACUAUAACGGUCCUAAGGUAGCGAAAUUCCUUGUCGGGUAAGUUCCGACCCGCACGAAAGGCGUAACGAUUUGGGCACUGUCUCAACGAGAGACUCGGUGAAAUCAUAGUACCUGUGAAGAUGCAGGUUACCCGCGACAGGACGGAAAGACCCCGUGGAGCUUUACUGUAGCCUGAUAUUGAAAUUCGGCACAGCUUGUACAGGAUAGGUAGGAGCCUUUGAAACGUGAGCGCUAGCUUACGUGGAGGCGCUGGUGGGAUACUACCCUAGCUGUGUUGGCUUUCUAACCCGCACCACUUAUCGUGGUGGGAGACAGUGUCAGGCGGGCAGUUUGACUGGGGCGGUCGCCUCCUAAAAGGUAACGGAGGCGCUCAAAGGUUCCCUCAGAAUGGUUGGAAAUCAUUCAUAGAGUGUAAAGGCAUAAGGGAGCUUGACUGCGAGACCUACAAGUCGAGCAGGGUCGAAAGACGGACUUAGUGAUCCGGUGGUUCCGCAUGGAAGGGCCAUCGCUCAACGGAUAAAAGCUACCCCGGGGAUAACAGGCUUAUCUCCCCCAAGAGUUCACAUCGACGGGGAGGUUUGGCACCUCGAUGUCGGCUCAUCGCAUCCUGGGGCUGUAGUCGGUCCCAAGGGUUGGGCUGUUCGCCCAUUAAAGCGGUACGCGAGCUGGGUUCAGAACGUCGUGAGACAGUUCGGUCCCUAUCCGUCGUGGGCGUAGGAAAUUUGAGAGGAGCUGUCCUUAGUACGAGAGGACCGGGAUGGACAUACCUCUGGUGUACCAGUUGUCGUGCCAACGGCAUAGCUGGGUAGCUAUGUGUGGACGGGAUAAGUGCUGAAAGCAUCUAAGCAUGAAGCCCCCCUCAAGAUGAGAUUUCCCAACUUCGGUUAUAAGAUCCCUCAAAGAUGAUGAGGUUAAUAGGUUCGAGGUGGAAGCAUGGUGACAUGUGGAGCUGACGAAUACUAA
This 2128-nucleotide ribosomal RNA is filed under the name Staphylococcus aureus. RNAcentral's name for it is "partial 23S ribosomal RNA". It matches the Rfam family "Bacterial large subunit ribosomal RNA", at positions 774 to 2904 of the family's 2925-position model. The record is from RNAcentral. Lineage: Bacteria; Bacillati; Bacillota; Bacilli; Caryophanales; Staphylococcaceae.